This 497-nucleotide ribosomal RNA is filed under the name uncultured bacterium. Its description in RNAcentral is "partial 16S ribosomal RNA". It matches the Rfam family "Bacterial small subunit ribosomal RNA", at positions 28 to 507 of the family's 1533-position model. The record is from RNAcentral.
GAUGAACGCUGGCGGCGUGCCUAAUACAUGCAAGUCGAGCGAACAGACGUGGAGCUUGCUCCUCUGACGUUAGCGGCGGACGGGUGAGUAACACGUGGAUAACCUACCUAUAAGACUGGGAUAACUUCGGGAAACCGGAGCUAAUACCGGAUAAUAUAUUGAACCGCAUGGUUCAACAGUGAAAGACGGUUUUGCUGUCACUUAUAGAUGGAUCCGCGCCGCAUUAGCUAGUUGGUAAGGUAACAGCUUACCAAGGCAACGAUGCGUAGCCGACCUGAGAGGGUGAUCGGCCACACUGGAACUGAGACACGGUCCAGACUCCUACGGGAGGCAGCAGUAGGGAAUCUUCCGCAAUGGGCGAAAGCCUGACGGAGCAACGCCGCGUGAGUGAUGAAGGUCUUCGGAUCGUAAAACUCUGUUAUUAGGGAAGAACAAAUGUGUAAGUAACUAUGCACGUCUUGACGGUACCUAAUCAGAAAGCCACGGCUAACUACGUG